GUGCCAGCCGCCGCGGUAAUACGUAGGGUGCGAGCGUUAAUCGGAAUUACUGGGCGUAAAGCGUGCGCAGGCGGUUUUGUAAGACAGAUGUGAAAUCCCCGGGCUUAACCUGGGAACUGCAUUUGUGACUGCAAGGCUAGAGUACGGCAGAGGGGGGUAGAAUUCCACGUGUAGCAGUGAAAUGCGUAGAUAUGUGGAGGAAUACCGAUGGCGAAGGCAGCCCCCUGGGUCGAUACUGACGCUCAUGCACGAAAGCGUGGGGAGCAAACAGGAUUAGAUACCCUAGUAGUCC
This 292-nucleotide ribosomal RNA is filed under the name uncultured bacterium. RNAcentral's name for it is "partial 16S ribosomal RNA". It matches the Rfam family "Bacterial small subunit ribosomal RNA", at positions 505 to 796 of the family's 1533-position model. The record is from RNAcentral.